RNAcentral lists this long non-coding RNA (745 nucleotides) under Setaria italica (foxtail millet). Its description in RNAcentral is "long non-coding RNA (SITA_LNC004831)". The record is from RNAcentral. Lineage: Eukaryota; Viridiplantae; Streptophyta; Magnoliopsida; Poales; Poaceae.
UUGGCGCUUAAUAAUCGUCAAUCGAUGCUGUUCUUCUCCUGCUGCUGCUGCUUCUUCUGCAUCAGCUUUUAAUGUCUUGUGUUGUUUAAUGCGAGUAGUGAUUAGUCUACCUAGGAUCCAACUUCUCCUUGACCCAGGCCUUGUUUACUUCCUAAUUUGGGAGUGCCAAAGUUGGGAGUUUGUCAUAAAUGCAUAACUGUAGCAUUUCGUUUGUAUUUGUAAAUUAUUGUCCAAAAAUUGACUAAUUAGGUUCAAAAGAUUCGUCUCGCAAAGUACAACAAAACUGUGCAGUUAGUUUUUGAUUUCAUCUACAUUUAGUACUCCAUGCAUGUAUCGCAAGUUUGAUGUGAUGGGGAAUCUUUUUUUUGCAUAGUGUCAAAGUUGGGAUUUUGGUGGAAACUAAACAUGGGCCAUGUUUAGUUACUCCCAACUUCCAACUUUGACACUAUGCAAAAAGAAGAUUCCCCAUCACAUCAAACUUGCGGUACAUGCAUGGAGUACUAAAUGUAGAUAAAAUUAAAAAGUAAUUGCACAGUUUUGUUGUACUUUACGAGACGAAUCUUUUGAGCCUAAUUAGUCAAUAUUUGGACAAUAAUUCACAAAUACAAACGAAACGCUACAGUGUGCUACAGUGCUGUAACAGUAAUUUGGCACCUCCCAAAUUGGCCAACUAAACAAGGCCAUGGCCCCAAUGUGGAUAAGCUGGAUCUGUGCAGCACGUGCGCAGCUGAUUUGUGCAUCGGGG